CGCGUGGGAAUGUGCCCCAAGGUACGGAACAACAGCGGGAAACUGCUGCUAAUACCGUAUGUGACCGAGAGGUGAAAGAUUUAUCGCCUUGGGAUCAGCCCGCGUUAGAUUAGGUAGUUGGUGGGGUAAUGGCCUACCAAGCCUACGAUCUAUAGCUGGUCUGAGAGGAUGAUCAGCCACACUGGAACUGAGACACGGUCCAGACUCCUACGGGAGGCAGCAGUGGGGAAUAUUGCACAAUGGGCGCAAGCCUGAUGCAGCCAUGCCGCGUGUGUGAAGAAGGCUCUAGGGUUGUAAAGC
This 300-nucleotide ribosomal RNA is filed under the name uncultured Hyphomonadaceae bacterium. RNAcentral describes it as "bacterial SSU rRNA". It matches the Rfam family "Bacterial small subunit ribosomal RNA", at positions 114 to 431 of the family's 1533-position model. The record is from RNAcentral. Lineage: Bacteria; Pseudomonadati; Pseudomonadota; Alphaproteobacteria; Hyphomonadales; Hyphomonadaceae.